RNAcentral lists this ribosomal RNA (505 nucleotides) under uncultured bacterium. Its description in RNAcentral is "partial 16S ribosomal RNA". The stretch from base 19 to 324 matches the Rfam family "Bacterial small subunit ribosomal RNA", at positions 47 to 358 of the family's 1533-position model. The record is from RNAcentral.
ACGAACGCUGGCGGCGUGCUUAACACAUGCAAGUCGAACGGAAAGGCCCCUUUGGGGGUACUCGAGUGGCGAACGGGUGAGUAACACGUGAGUAACCUGCCCUUGACUUCGGGAUAACUUCAGGAAACUGGGGCUAAUACCGGAUAGGAAUCCUUGCUGCAUGGUGGGGGUUGGAAAGCUUCGGCGGUUUUGGAUGGACUCGCGGCUUAUCAGCUUGUUGGUGGGGUAGUGGCUUACCAAGGCUUUGACGGGUAGCCGGCCUGAGAGGGCGACCGGCCACAGCGGGAGGGAGAGGCGGCCGCGGCGGGUGGGGGAGGGAGGGGGGGGGACUAUGGCGCGCGGGGGGGAGGCGUGGGGCGGAGCGGGCGGGGGCGGGCUGCCGGCCCGGGGCGCGUGGCCCGCGGGCGGGAGGGGCGGAGUGGGGGGGGAAGCUAGAGGAAGAAGAGGCAACGGCUAAGGACGAGCCAGAAGCCGCGGUAACAGUGGUAAGAGCACACGUCACACC